RNAcentral lists this unclassified non-coding RNA (332 nucleotides) under soil metagenome. RNAcentral's name for it is "partial contains 5.8S ribosomal RNA, internal transcribed spacer 2, and large subunit ribosomal RNA". The stretch from base 1 to 120 matches the Rfam family "5.8S ribosomal RNA", at positions 35 to 154 of the family's 154-position model. The record is from RNAcentral.
GAUGAAGAACGUAGCGAAAUGCGAUAAGUAGUGUGAAUUGCAGAAUUCAGUGAAUCAUCGAAUCUUUGAACGCACAUUGCGCCCUUUGGUAUUCCUUAGGGCAUGCCUGUUCGAGCGUCAUUUAAACCUUCAAGCUCAGCUUGGUGUUGGGUGACUGUCCGCUUCACCGCGGACUCGCCUCAAAAUUAUUGGCGGCCGGUACAUUGGCUUCGAGCGCAGCAGAAACGCGAACUCGGGCCCGUCGUAUUGGCUCCCAGAAGCUAUCUUCACAAUUUUGACCUCGGAUCAGGUAGGGAUACCCGCUGAACUUAAGCAUAUCAAUAACCGGAGGA